This 70-nucleotide transfer RNA is filed under the name Epalzeorhynchos frenatum (rainbow sharkminnow). Its description in RNAcentral is "tRNA-His". It matches the Rfam family "tRNA". From Rfam's summary of the family: Transfer RNA (tRNA) molecules are approximately 80 nucleotides in length. Their secondary structure includes four short double-helical elements and three loops (D, anti-codon, and T loops). Further hydrogen bonds mediate the characteristic L-shaped molecular structure. tRNAs have two regions of fundamental functional importance: the anti-codon, which is responsible for specific mRNA codon recognition, and the 3' end, to which the tRNAs corresponding amino acid is attached (by aminoacyl-tRNA synthetases). tRNAs cope with the degeneracy of the genetic code in two manners: having more than one tRNA (with a specific anti-codon) for a particular amino acid; and 'wobble' base-pairing, i.e. permitting non-standard base-pairing at the 3rd anti-codon position. Lineage: Eukaryota; Metazoa; Chordata; Actinopteri; Cypriniformes; Cyprinidae. The record is from RNAcentral.
UGUAAGUAUAGUUUAACCAAAAUAUUAGAUUGUGAUUCUAAAGACAGGAGUUAAAAUCUCUUUACUCACC